GGAUCUUUUAUUUUUGUUUUAAUAAAACGGUAGUCUCCAUUCGAAUUUAAGACAGAAAACAUCGGUUUAAAUAACAAAGUUUAAAUUCAAUUGUACUAAGCAAGUGGCUUGUUCGAAGUAUCAAGACUUACAGGAGAUGAUAUAUUCUAACUGAUUGCAACUAUAUUUUAAUAUUCAAUUUAAAAGGGAGUUCGGAACUGAUGAUUGAUGAAGUUUAUAUAGUAUUGUGCAGUGGACUUUGUUUUUGAUCAGUAAAGAUGAAAACUCGCAUAGAA
Drosophila montana is the source of this 275-nucleotide long non-coding RNA. RefSeq lists it as uncharacterized. Lineage: Eukaryota; Metazoa; Arthropoda; Insecta; Diptera; Drosophilidae. The transcript has 2 exons. The record is from RefSeq and is a predicted model, not a curated record.